GGGCGAGUGGCGGAAUUGGUAGACGCGCUAGGUUCAGGGUCUAGUGGCCGCAAGGCCGUGGGAGUUCGAGUCUCCCCUCGCCCA
This 84-nucleotide transfer RNA is filed under the name Rubrobacter taiwanensis. It matches the Rfam family "tRNA". Rfam says of the family: Transfer RNA (tRNA) molecules are approximately 80 nucleotides in length. Their secondary structure includes four short double-helical elements and three loops (D, anti-codon, and T loops). The record is from Rfam by way of RNAcentral. Lineage: Bacteria; Bacillati; Actinomycetota; Rubrobacteria; Rubrobacterales; Rubrobacteraceae.